Molecule: long non-coding RNA, 332 nt
Organism: Spinacia oleracea (spinach)
Lineage: Eukaryota; Viridiplantae; Streptophyta; Magnoliopsida; Caryophyllales; Amaranthaceae
Exons: 3
Source: RefSeq, a predicted model, not a curated record
AUCUGAGCUUCCCAAGUGGAACUAUGAUGGUUCAAGCACGGUACAAACACCAGGACAAGACAGUGAAGUAAUCUUAUACCCUCAAGCAAUAUUUAGGGAUCCAUUUCGUGGUGGUAACAAUAUCUUGGUAAUCUGUGACGCUUACACACCUGCUAAAGAACCAAUCCCAGCUAAUAAACGACACAAAGCUGCCGAAAUUUUCAACAACCAAUUUCCCAGCACUGAUGAUUUAUUUCCUAAUUACAUCUGCAAGAAGAGUUUCUCUUUAAAGACGACCCCUUUCCUAUUGCAUAUUCAGGGCGCCUCUUUUAUAGAACCACAAAUUAUUUGAC